Molecule: ribosomal RNA, 504 nt
Filed under: uncultured bacterium
Lineage: Bacteria
Description: bacterial SSU rRNA
Rfam family: Bacterial small subunit ribosomal RNA
Source: RNAcentral
UGAGUAAUGUCUGGGAAACUGCCCGAUGGAGGGGGAUAACUACUGGAAACGGUAGCUAAUACCGCAUAACGUCUUCGGACCAAAGUGGGGGACCUUCGGGCCUCACACCAUCGGAUGUGCCCAGAUGGGAUUAGCUAGUAGGUGGGGUAAUGGCUCACCUAGGCGACGAUCCCUAGCUGGUCUGAGAGGAUGACCAGCCACACUGGAACUGAGACACGGUCCAGACUCCUACGGGAGGCAGCAGUGGGGAAUGUUGCACAAUGGGCGCAAGCCUGAUGCAGCCAUGCCGCGUGUAUGAAGAAGGCCUUCGGGUUGUAAAGUACUUUCAGUGGGGAGGAAGGCGUUAAGGUUAAUAACCUUGGCGAUUGACGUUACCCGCAGAAGAAGCACCGGCUAACUCCGUGCCAGCAGCCGCGGUAAUACGGAGGGUGCAAGCGUUAAUCGGAAUUACUGGGCGUAAAGCGCACGCAGGCGGUCUGUCAAGUCGGAUGUGAAAUCCCCGGG